Molecule: ribosomal RNA, 229 nt
Filed under: uncultured bacterium
Lineage: Bacteria
Description: partial 16S ribosomal RNA
Rfam family: Bacterial small subunit ribosomal RNA
Source: RNAcentral
UGCGCAGGCGGAACUUUAAGUCAGUGGUGAAAUCUUGCCGCUUAACGGUAAAAUUGCCAUUGAUACUGAAGUUCUUGAAUAUGGUUGAGGUAGGCGGAAUGUGUUGUGUAGCGGUGAAAUGCAUAGAUAUGACACAGAACUCCGAUUGCGAAGGCAGCUUACUAAACCAUUAUUGACGCUGAGGCACGAAAGCGUGGGUAGCGAACAGGAUUAGAUACCCUGGUAGUCC